RNAcentral lists this ribosomal RNA (1069 nucleotides) under Escherichia coli. RNAcentral describes it as "bacterial SSU rRNA". It matches the Rfam family "Bacterial small subunit ribosomal RNA", at positions 108 to 1174 of the family's 1533-position model. Lineage: Bacteria; Pseudomonadati; Pseudomonadota; Gammaproteobacteria; Enterobacterales; Enterobacteriaceae. The record is from RNAcentral.
GAGUAAUGUCUGGGAAACUGCCUGAUGGAGGGGGAUAACUACUGGAAACGGUAGCUAAUACCGCAUAACGUCGCAAGACCAAAGAGGGGGACCUUCGGGCCUCUUGCCAUCGGAUGUGCCCAGAUGGGAUUAGCUAGUAGGUGGGGUAACGGCUCACCUAGGCGACGAUCCCUAGCUGGUCUGAGAGGAUGACCAGCCACACUGGAACUGAGACACGGUCCAGACUCCUACGGGAGGCAGCAGUGGGGAAUAUUGCACAAUGGGCGCAAGCCUGAUGCAGCCAUGCCGCGUGUAUGAAGAAGGCCUUCGGGUUGUAAAGUACUUUCAGCGGGGAGGAAGGGAGUAAAGUUAAUACCUUUGCUCAUUGACGUUACCCGCAGAAGAAGCACCGGCUAACUCCGUGCCAGCAGCCGCGGUAAUACGGAGGGUGCAAGCGUUAAUCGGAAUUACUGGGCGUAAAGCGCACGCAGGCGGUUUGUUAAGUCAGAUGUGAAAUCCCCGGGCUCAACCUGGGAACUGCAUCUGAUACUGGCAAGCUUGAGUCUCGUAGAGGGGGGUAGAAUUCCAGGUGUAGCGGUGAAAUGCGUAGAGAUCUGGAGGAAUACCGGUGGCGAAGGCGGCCCCCUGGACGAAGACUGACGCUCAGGUGCGAAAGCGUGGGGAGCAAACAGGAUUAGAUACCCUGGUAGUCCACGCCGUAAACGAUGUCGACUUGGAGGUUGUGCCCUUGAGGCGUGGCUUCCGGAGCUAACGCGUUAAGUCGACCGCCUGGGGAGUACGGCCGCAAGGUUAAAACUCAAAUGAAUUGACGGGGGCCCGCACAAGCGGUGGAGCAUGUGGUUUAAUUCGAUGCAACGCGAAGAACCUUACCUGGUCUUGACAUCCACGGAAGUUUUCAGAGAUGAGAAUGUGCCUUCGGGAACCGUGAGACAGGUGCUGCAUGGCUGUCGUCAGCUCGUGUUGUGAAAUGUUGGGUUAAGUCCCGCAACGAGCGCAACCCUUAUCCUUUGUUGCCAGCGGUCCGGCCGGGAACUCAAAGGAGACUGCCAGUGAUAAACUGGAGGAAGGU